Molecule: ribosomal RNA, 497 nt
Filed under: uncultured bacterium
Lineage: Bacteria
Description: partial 16S ribosomal RNA
Rfam family: Bacterial small subunit ribosomal RNA
Source: RNAcentral
GAUGAACGCUGGCGGCGUGCCUAAUACAUGCAAGUCGAGCGAACGGACGAGAAGCUUGCUUCUCUGAUGUUGGCGGCGGACGGGUGAGUAACACGUGGAUAACCUACCUAUAAGACUGGGAUAACUUCGGGAAACCGGAGCUAAUACCGGAUAAUAUUUUGAACCGCAUGGUUCAAAAGUGAAAGACGGUCUUGCUGUCACUUAUAGAUGGAUCCGCGCUGCAUUAGCUAGUUGGUAAGGUAACGGCUUACCAAGGCAACGAUGCAUAGCCGACCUGAGAGGGUGAUCGGCCACACUGGAACUGAGACACGGUCCAGACUCCUACGGGAGGCAGCAGUAGGGAAUCUUCCGCAAUGGGCGAAAGCCUGACGGAGCAACGCCGCGUGAGUGAUGAAGGUCUUCGGAUCGUAAAACUCUGUUAUUAGGGAAGAACAUAUGUGUAAGUAACUGUGCACAUCUUGACGGUACCUAAUCAAAAAGCCACGGCUAACUACGUG